CAAAAUCCCACCAGGACCACCCAAAAUCCCACUCUGGUCUUCAUCCUGAAGUUCUCCAGAAGGUUCCUCAAGCCCAAAUUCCACCAAAAACCCCCAAAUUCCACCCAGGACCACCCAAAAUCCCACCCUGAUCUUCAUCCUGAUGUUCUCCAGAAGGUUCCUCACCAUCCUGAUGUUCUCCAGAAGGUUCCUCAAGCCCAAAUUCCACCAAAAACCCCCAAAAUUUCACCCAAAAUCCCACCAGGACCACCCAAAGUCCCACCAGGACCACCCAAAAUCCACCCUGGUCUUCAUCCUGAUGUUCUCCAGAAGGUUCCUCACCAUCCUGAUGUUCUCCAGAAGGUUCCUCAAGCCCAAAUUCCACCAAAAACCC
This is a non-coding RNA of Taeniopygia guttata (zebra finch), 373 nucleotides long. The record is from RefSeq and is a predicted model, not a curated record. NCBI's taxonomy places the organism in Eukaryota, Metazoa, Chordata, Aves, Passeriformes, Estrildidae.